AGAGUGAUCGCUGGCGGCGUGCUUAACACAUGCAAGUCGAGCGGAUUUUGGCAGUGUAUCGCCAGAAUUAGCGGCAGACGGGUGAGUAAUACUUGGGCAAUCUGCCCUUGAGUGGGAAACAACCGGCCGAAGGGCUGGCUAAUGUCCCAUAAGACCACAGGAAUGCAUAUUCCAGGGGUCAAAGCUCCGCAAGGGGCGCUUGAGGAGGAGCCCGAGUCCUAUCAUGGUAGUUGGUGAGGUAACGGCUCACCAAGCCUUUGACGGGUAGCCGGCCUGAAAGGGUGAUCGGCCACACUGGCACUGAGACACGGGCCAGACUCCUACGGGAGGCAGCAGUGGGGAAUUUUGGACAAGUGGGGGCAACCCUGAUCCAGCGACGCCGCGUGAAGGAUGAAGGUCUUCGGAUUGUAAACUUCUUUUGGAGGGAUGAAUGCCUUGGUGAAGAGACCGAAGGUUGACAGUACUCUUACGAAUAAGCCAACGGCUAAACUACGUGCCAGCACG
This 504-nucleotide ribosomal RNA is filed under the name uncultured soil bacterium. Its description in RNAcentral is "bacterial SSU rRNA". It matches the Rfam family "Bacterial small subunit ribosomal RNA", at positions 26 to 515 of the family's 1533-position model. The record is from RNAcentral.